Molecule: long non-coding RNA, 628 nt
Organism: Cryptotermes secundus
Lineage: Eukaryota; Metazoa; Arthropoda; Insecta; Blattodea; Kalotermitidae
Exons: 3
Source: RefSeq, a predicted model, not a curated record
GAAGUGGCCGCAGUACAAUGAACGUAGUCCCACCCCACUAGCAAUAAAAAAAAGGAGAGAAAUUAUAAAAACAUAUAAUGCUCGUAAAACCAGAAGGGAAGAGGAAGAAAGGUGGAUCAAGAAUGGGAUGGAUGGUGUGGAGAAGGGUUUGAGGAACUUGGGUGGAGUUAACUGGAAAACAAAGGCACAAGAGCGGAAUGGCUGGAGAAAGUUUUUAGAGCAGGCCAAGGCCCGCAAAGUUCCCUAUCACUGCCUUGUGGGAAAUUCAAAUUUGGAGCACCCAAAACAUGAGAAUGUGGUCGACAUCAUCGAAAUAUGCAGAACCAAAGUCAUGCAACCAUAGGAACCCAGUGGAAACAUCCAAGGACUGGCAAGAAGAAAGCUGUGUCAGAAGGUGAAGAAUCCGUAUAAUAAUCAAAUCUUGUUAUGCCUGAUUCCACUGAAGAAGUGUUGCUCAAUUACAUUAACUUAAAAUAUGGGAAGUUUGUGGACUGGUUGCAGUGUCAUGGUGAAAGCUGUGACAUUGAUAGCACUUAGCACUUCCCCUUGUAGCCACAUGGGCCACGCCAUAGCUCAAGCGGUUAGUUGCUGGCCCGGGUUCGAUCCUGGGUCUGGUGAAAUGGGAUUU